Molecule: long non-coding RNA, 682 nt
Filed under: Homo sapiens (human)
Lineage: Eukaryota; Metazoa; Chordata; Mammalia; Primates; Hominidae
Description: non-protein coding lnc-PBX1-2:3
Source: RNAcentral
CUCUCAAUAGUACAAAUAAAACCCCCCACAAGAUUAAAGAAGAGAGUUAAAGCAAGAAUCCUCAUGACAAGGGGUGGCUACUCUGGCAUUUUCAAGUCUUGAGGUUGCUGUUUUCCAGGGGGUGAUGUGAUAUGACCCUAGCCAACAUGUAGAGCUGGUUUUGUGGACUGUGCCUGUGUGCUUGUGAGAAAGCAGAGCGACAGAGGGAGGCAGAGUUAGAGCUAGUUGCAGAAGGAAAGUGCAAUUUCUGAACAGGGGCAGACCUGCCUGACUUGGAUAUCAGCUUCUCCAUGAAAAUAUGCAGUGCCUAAAAUUUACACUGAUCGAUUUGUUCACGAGAAAGGACAUUUCUAAAAGAGCCAGGAGACUGCCCCCAGAACCAAGAGGAGUACUGGAGAGCAGAAGAUGAAGAAAAACCUUUAAACAGCAGAGCAGUGAAGUGGAGGGAGAGGCGGCCCCUCUCCUUUGCCAGAGACUCCCACUCCCAGAUGCAGGCUGGAGCGAUCCCUCAUAAUUUAAGCUGACACCCCUCAGCGGAGAUGAAAGGAACACCACUCGCUGCUCUCCAACAACAAAUGUCAGCAUCCCUGGAGGCCGUUUAGACACAAACGCAGCAUAAAUCUGACUCCUAGUGGGGAAGUCCAGAGAUUAAGUCUCCACACACAGCCUACCAGAGUGAAAU